Amphimedon queenslandica is the source of this 1765-nucleotide RNA transcript. RefSeq lists it as uncharacterized. NCBI's taxonomy places the organism in Eukaryota, Metazoa, Porifera, Demospongiae, Haplosclerida, Niphatidae. The record is from RefSeq and is a predicted model, not a curated record. The transcript has 6 exons.
UUAAUUCCAGUUGUAUUUGGGUGAAUAAAACCGUUACUUCAAAUUACGAUGCUAACUCGUCCCACGAGAGUUUCCUUCUUGGGGUAACGUCUUAUCGUGACCUCCACCUGUUCUCAGUCCAGCAUCAAGCAACAUUCCAAGAUGGAGGACAAGAAGAGGAGGAGGAGGGAGAGGGAGAGUGUCAGAGAACUGGUUCUGUUGUUUUACUUGUCACUAUAAACAGAUCUGUUCUAUGAGCAAGAGACAGAUAACGUCAAUACUGUCAAAAGCACAACUUGGCUCCAGUCUUGAUACACUAACAGUACUUGGUUCUCAUAAAGGUGAUGUCAUUCUCCUAGCUAAUAACAGUUCUUUAAUUCACCUCACCCUUCACUCCUCCUCAUCCCACCAACAGUCACUGGUCUUCUCUUUAGUCUUCAGUAUAGAGCCGAACAUGGAGUCCUUCCAGUAUGAUGACACUCUUCCACAAUAUGUCGGGAAGUUGAACGACGUCCUUUUUAAUUGGCUGCUGCUGUUCACUCUCAGUGAGGACGGGAUUGUUGGUCUACAGUGUCUCUAAUGCUAUGAUCAUUGCUGCCAUUCAUCCACUGGAAUACUGUAGAAUGUUUAGCUCCAACACUCCAGAUGGUCCUUCUCUCCUACAAACCCUGUCCUUGUCUUCAUUUCAUAAGAUCUUAGUCUCUCCUGAUUUAAUGAAACUCUGUGUCUCCACUAAAACCCACCACAUCAUUGCCGUCGAUUUAGGGAUUUAUUUUGCCAUGUUCUCAUCACAUUAUUCUAAAAAUUUCCGUCAAAAGUUGACCAAGAGGACCCCGCCCACCCAGCGGCCCCAGGACCCGCAUAUCAGCCAAGAGGAGGAGCUAGAGAGAGGGAGGUACGGUGGACUGACAAGACGAGAAAAAGGAACAAAAUAUGUCAGACCUUUUGUCAGCCAUUUUUUCGUUGCUAAGCGAUGCAGUAGACUAAUGAGGAACAUUGAUAGGAUGAAUCUUAAUGAAGGGUAUGGCCUCUCACUAGUUGGGGUUUCUAAACUACCAAAAGAACAUGACAAACCAGUCAGACCGGUUUCAGGUGACAAGUGGUACAUGCCUAGUAGAGGGGCAUGGCUUGGUAAAUGAGUGGGCGGAGACUGGGAGGAGUCUAGUAAUGUUUGUAUUACUAGUAUGAGAAAAACUAAACCACUGAAUAUAUAACAGGAGGACAUGUCCUGGAGCCACACCCACUCCGGCACUAGUUACCCCAUACAGUGUAUACUCCCUCCAGCUGAAGGUCAUGUGAUCAGUGACUCCGCCCUAUUGUACCCCCACUAUAAUAACAGAUUGGUAAUAGCAUAUUAUGAUAAGAAUGGGAAUGGAAAAACAAGGAAUGAAGAACAGGAACCAAAAACUACCAAUUUAAUUGUCAUUUAUAAGGCUUCUGAGAGAUACUAUUCAUUAGCCAAUUUUUCGUGUCGGAACUGGUUGAUCCUGCCUACUAAUGAGGACAAACCGGUUUAUCUGGUUUCUGAUAGUUUACUAUCAGUGUCGGCUUUCCUUUUAUCACAAGAAGACUUUGUAGCAAAAGUGUUAAUGUAUGGUAGUGUGUCAGUAGCUGAGGAGGUGUGUCACUUGAACCGCUGGGACCAAUGUUCCCUCCCUCUCAAUGCACUGGAGACUGGACUGGAACUGAGGCAGUUGGACAUAGUGUCAUUCUUCCUUAGGAACAGAGGUAAAGGAUAUACUAUUUAUAGUAACACUAAUACUAUUUAUAAUAAUGAUAAAUGAUG